Molecule: ribosomal RNA, 252 nt
Filed under: uncultured bacterium
Lineage: Bacteria
Description: partial 16S ribosomal RNA
Rfam family: Bacterial small subunit ribosomal RNA
Source: RNAcentral
UACGUAGGGUGCGAGCGUUAAUCGGAAUUACUGGGCGUAAAGCGUGCGCAGGCGGUCUGUUAAGACAGAUGUGAAAUCCCCGGGCUUAACCUGGGAACUGCAUUUGUGACUGGCAGGCUAGAGUAUGGCAGAGGGGGUAGAAUUCCACGUGUAGCAGUGAAAUGCGUAGAGAUGUGGAGGAAUACCGAUGGCGAAGGCAGCCCCCUGGGCCAAUACUGACGCUCAUGCACGAAAGCGUGGGGAGCAAACAGG